UGGGAAUAUUGGGCAAUGGGGCGCAAGCCUGACCCAGCAACGCCGCGUGAAGGAAGAAGGUUUUCGGAUUGUAAACUUCUGUCCUAAGUGACGAAGGAAGUGACGGUAGCUUAGGAGGAAGCCCCGGCUAACUACGUGCCAGCAGCCGCGGUAAUACGUAGGUGGCGAGCGUUGUCCGGAAUUACUGGGUGUAAAGGGAGUGUAGGCGGGAAUGCAAGUCAGAAGUGAAAACUAUGAGCUUAACCCAUAGCCUGCUUUUGAAACUGUAUUUCUUGAGUGAAGCAGAGGCAAGCGGAAUUCCUAGUGUAGCGGUGAAAUGCGUAGAUAUUAGGAGGAACACCAGUGGCGAAGGCGGCUUGCUGGGCUUUUACUGACGCUGAGGCUCGAAAGCGUGGGGGA
This 399-nucleotide ribosomal RNA is filed under the name uncultured Clostridium sp. Its description in RNAcentral is "bacterial SSU rRNA". It matches the Rfam family "Bacterial small subunit ribosomal RNA", at positions 356 to 768 of the family's 1533-position model. The record is from RNAcentral. Lineage: Bacteria; Bacillati; Bacillota; Clostridia; Eubacteriales; Clostridiaceae.